This is a microRNA precursor of Monodelphis domestica (gray short-tailed opossum), 62 nucleotides long. Ensembl annotates it as mdo-mir-7385c. Lineage: Eukaryota; Metazoa; Chordata; Mammalia; Didelphimorphia; Didelphidae. The record is from Ensembl.
AGGUCUGAUACUCUAUCUUUCAGUGAUGUUCUAAAACCUGGAACAUAGUUUGUCUGGCCUGG